Molecule: ribosomal RNA, 253 nt
Filed under: uncultured bacterium
Lineage: Bacteria
Description: partial 16S ribosomal RNA
Rfam family: Bacterial small subunit ribosomal RNA
Source: RNAcentral
UACGUAGGGUGCGAGCGUUAAUCGGAAUUACUGGGCGUAAAGCGUGCGCAGGCGGUUUUGUAAGCCAGGUGUGAAAUCCCCGGGCUCAACCUGGGAAUGGCAUUUGGGACUGCAAGGCUGGAGUGCGGCAGAGGAGACUGGAAUUCCAGGUGUAGCGGUGAAAUGCGUAGAUAUCUGGAGGAAUACCGGUGGCGAAGGCGGCAUCCUGGACCAUAACUGACGCUGAGGCGCGAAAGCUAGGGGAGCAAACGGG